Molecule: long non-coding RNA, 362 nt
Organism: Pyrus x bretschneideri (Chinese white pear)
Lineage: Eukaryota; Viridiplantae; Streptophyta; Magnoliopsida; Rosales; Rosaceae
Exons: 3
Source: RefSeq, a predicted model, not a curated record
CAGAGAGGCUCCGAUCACCUUAACAUCUCCCAUUUUGAAGUCUGCAAAUUCUGAAAUCGAAAGUUUUCAUUCUCUUGAAGCAUUGGUCUGAGCUUUAUAGAGGCGGGAUUUCGCUAAGCGUCACAUUUCUUGCAGAGAAAGUUAAAUGUAGUGACGUAUGUGAGGCUCGUGUCGAAGAAAAUUAAGCGCACGCGCACGAUUGCGCUAAGUUUCGAUAUAAGCAAAUACAUAGAUGACAACAAGACUCAAUCAAACAGUAAUCAGAUUCGGAAGUGAAGAGAUGGAGUGCGAAAUCAUGGUUUGUUGGCGGAUGAGGAACGGAUGUAACCGAUCAUAAAUCGGAGGUAGGGGACCAAUGCUUC